RNAcentral lists this unclassified non-coding RNA (336 nucleotides) under soil metagenome. Its description in RNAcentral is "partial contains 5.8S ribosomal RNA, internal transcribed spacer 2, and large subunit ribosomal RNA". The stretch from base 1 to 120 matches the Rfam family "5.8S ribosomal RNA", at positions 35 to 154 of the family's 154-position model. The record is from RNAcentral.
GAUGAAGAACGUAGCGAAAUGCGAUAAGUAAUGUGAAUUGCAGAAUUCAGUGAAUCAUCGAAUCUUUGAACGCACAUUGCGCCCGCCAGUAUUCUGGCGGGCAUGCCUGUUCGAGCGUCAUUUCAACCAUCAAGCACCAGGCUUGUGUUGGGGACCUGCGACUGCCGCAGGCCCUGAAAACCAGUGGCGGGCUCGCUGUCACACCGGGCGUAGUAGAUUUUAUCUCGCUCAGGGCGUGCUGCGGGUUCCGGCCGUUAAAAAGCCUUUUUUACCCAAGGUUGACCUCGGAUCAGGUAGGAAGACCCGCUGAACUUAAGCAUAUCAAUAAGCGGAGGA